Lathyrus oleraceus (garden pea) is the source of this 494-nucleotide long non-coding RNA. RefSeq lists it as uncharacterized. The record is from RefSeq and is a predicted model, not a curated record. The transcript has 2 exons. Lineage: Eukaryota; Viridiplantae; Streptophyta; Magnoliopsida; Fabales; Fabaceae.
CUAUUAGUUAGUUAGGAUGUCAAUGUUAGUUGAGAUUGAUGUUAAAUGUGAGCAGUUAGGGAAGUGAAGGUGGCUUCAAUUUUUCUGUUAGGUGUUAGGUGAAAUGUUGGUGCAGUUAGACAAUUAGGGUAUGCACACAUGAGGAUUGAACAAAGUCUUCAAAGUAACUUGCAUCGUGGCUUGCACUUGAAAAAAAUGGGAACAUGGUGAAGGAAACAUUAAAAGUAAAUGGAUUCUUGAAGAUUCAAAGAUGACUUGUAGGAAAAAUAGAAAUAGGAACUAGGGUUUAGGAUGGGUAAAAAUAGUCAGUUGACUUUGGUGAACUGGUUGACCAAAAAGUCAAUAGUUGACCAAAAGUCAACUUAGGUAAAAUAUAUAUUUUUGUGUAUGGUUUAUGUGCCUUCCCGUGAAGGUAUGAGGUUGUUCAAUACGUUUGGGCCAUUUGGUGUGAACGAGUUAGCCUUUGAAUCAAUUAGGUCUUGUACCUUAUAUUU